This 253-nucleotide ribosomal RNA is filed under the name uncultured bacterium. RNAcentral's name for it is "partial 16S ribosomal RNA". It matches the Rfam family "Bacterial small subunit ribosomal RNA", at positions 524 to 776 of the family's 1533-position model. The record is from RNAcentral.
UACGUAGGUGGCAAGCGUUAUCCGGAAUUAUUGGGCGUAAAGCGCGCGCAGGCGGUUUCUUAAGUCUGAUGUGAAAGCCCACGGCUCAACCGUGGAGGGUCAUUGGAAACUGGGGAACUUGAGUGCAGAAGAGAAAAGCGGAAUUCCACGUGUAGCGGUGAAAUGCGUAGAGAUGUGGAGGAACACCAGUGGCGAAGGCGGCUUUUUGGUCUGUAACUGACGCUGAGGCGCGAAAGCCAGGGGAGCAAACGGG